AUUAAAUCAACCUAAACUAAAAGACUAAGCAGUCUGCAAGUAGCUGCCUGAAGAAAUAUGCAAAAAAAAAAAAACAAAAACCCAAGAGCUGCUUCCUGCUCAGCUCCACAUUCCCUGAAGAAAAUCAACUUUACCCCUUCAUAAUCACAGUAUUGGAUUUUAAAACAGUCUUGUUUUAUGAAUUUAUGAUGGUCUUUUCUUUCUGCUUUGCGGAGAUAAUAAAAUAAUGAACAUACAAUCAUAUUAGAUCAAGUAUCAUUUUCACUUUAAUUUUUACCAUAUUUAGGGAGUAAUGGCCAAAGAGCAAUAUGACUGGUCAAAGAGAACAUGAAGUGAUUAUGUGACAUCCAGAUGACAUGAUAACAUGGUGUUGGCUCUCAGCAACAUUAAUAAGUCAACAGGAAUGUCAGGAAGAUGAAUACCUUCGCCACCCAAACUAGUUCCAUGAGAGGAUCUUCAGAAACACAUAAUGCCAGCAAGAAAACACGAUUAGUAGUUAAUAAGUUAUGAGCCAGCUCCCCUGAGAUGAAGCAGCAGCACCGGAAGUCUGUCACUGCAGAGACUGUGGGAAAGCAGUCAGACCCAGAGCUUGAUCACACGUAACAUGUUGCGGAUAUGGAAAAGAUGUGAAAAUGUUCAGGAAAAAACCCUCAGUCAUUUCAACAUCUACUUGGAGCUCCCUAUAAAUGAAGAGAAAAAGAAACACUCACCAUCUGGACCUCUGAUAAACAUCCAUGUAGAAUGAGGCCCUAAGAAGCAGUUAUAAGGAAGAAGUGUCAUCAGCUCAUCUCCCUCUACACCCAUAAUUAUCAAGUCACCUGGAAAAGGGUAGUUCUGAUCUUGAGGUUGUCAGAAAGUGGUACCAUCCAAUGGGAAAGUGAACUUUUCCAAUUCCAGUUAAUGGCUGAGCUCUGGGUUUCCCAUGUGUGAGCUAUUCUCCCCAGGCCAUAUCUGUCUGUGUGGAUUAGCUGAUCCCAGUCCUUGUGAACAAAACAAAAAGAAAAAUAUUAACAUUCCUUUUAACAGAG
RNAcentral lists this long non-coding RNA (1028 nucleotides) under Cricetulus griseus (Chinese hamster). RNAcentral's name for it is "lncRNA (ENSCGRG00015034515.1)". The record is from RNAcentral. Lineage: Eukaryota; Metazoa; Chordata; Mammalia; Rodentia; Cricetidae.